This 915-nucleotide ribosomal RNA is filed under the name Escherichia coli. RNAcentral's name for it is "partial 23S ribosomal RNA". It matches the Rfam family "Bacterial large subunit ribosomal RNA", at positions 312 to 1230 of the family's 2925-position model. The record is from RNAcentral. Lineage: Bacteria; Pseudomonadati; Pseudomonadota; Gammaproteobacteria; Enterobacterales; Enterobacteriaceae.
CUGAAUCAGUGUGUGUGUUAGUGGAAGCGUCUGGAAAGGCGCGCGAUACAGGGUGACAGCCCCGUACACAAAAAUGCACAUGCUGUGAGCUCGAUGAGUAGGGCGGGACACGUGGUAUCCUGUCUGAAUAUGGGGGGACCAUCCUCCAAGGCUAAAUACUCCUGACUGACCGAUAGUGAACUAGUACCGUGAGGGAAAGGCGAAAAGAACCCCGGCGAGGGGAGUGAAAAAGAACCUGAAACCGUGUACGUACAAGCAGUGGGAGCAUGCUUAGGCGUGUGACUGCGUACCUUUUGUAUAAUGGGUCAGCGACUUAUAUUCUGUAGCAAGGUUAACCGAAUAGGGGAGCCGAAGGGAAACCGAGUCUUAACUGGGCGUUAAGUUGCAGGGUAUAGACCCGAAACCCGGUGAUCUAGCCAUGGGCAGGUUGAAGGUUGGGUAACACUAACUGGAGGACCGAACCGACUAAUGUUGAAAAAUUAGCGGAUGACUUGUGGCUGGGGGUGAAAGGCCAAUCAAACCGGGAGAUAGCUGGUUCUCCCCGAAAGCUAUUUAGGUAGCGCCUCGUGAAUUCAUCUCCGGGGGUAGAGCACUGUUUCGGCAAGGGGGUCAUCCCGACUUACCAACCCGAUGCAAACUGCGAAUACCGGAGAAUGUUAUCACGGGAGACACACGGCGGGUGCUAACGUCCGUCGUGAAGAGGGAAACAACCCAGACCGCCAGCUAAGGUCCCAAAGUCAUGGUUAAGUGGGAAACGAUGUGGGAAGGCCCAGACAGCCAGGAUGUUGGCUUAGAAGCAGCCAUCAUUUAAAGAAAGCGUAAUAGCUCACUGGUCGAGUCGGCCUGCGCGGAAGAUGUAACGGGGCUAAACCAUGCACCGAAGCUGCGGCAGCGACGCUUAUGCGUUGUUGGGUA